GAUGAACGCUGGCGGCGUGCCUAAUACAUGCCAGUCGAGCGGACGGACGCGAAGCUUGCUUCUCUGAUGUUAGCGGCGGACGGGUGUGUAACACGUGGAUAACCUACCUAUAAGUCUGGGAUAACUUCGGGAAUCCGUAGCUUAUACCGGAUAAUAUUUUGAACCGCAUUGUUCAAAAGUGAGAGUCGGUGUUUCUGUCACUUCUAGCUGGUUCCGCGCUGCUUUAGCUAGUUGGUAAGGUAACGGCUUACCAAGGCAACGAUGCAUAGCCGACCUGAGAGGGUGAUCGGCCACACUGGAACUGAGACACGGUCCAGACUCCUACGGGAGGCAGCAGUAGGGAAUCUGCCGCAAUGGGCGAAAGCCUGACGGAGCAACGCCGCGUGAGUGAUGAAGGUCUUCGGAUCGUAAAACUCUGUUAUUAGGGAAGAACAUAUGUGUAAGUAACUGUGCACAUCUUGACGGUACCUAAUCAGAAAGCCACGGCUAACUACGUG
This 497-nucleotide ribosomal RNA is filed under the name uncultured bacterium. RNAcentral describes it as "partial 16S ribosomal RNA". It matches the Rfam family "Bacterial small subunit ribosomal RNA", at positions 28 to 507 of the family's 1533-position model. The record is from RNAcentral.